RNAcentral lists this ribosomal RNA (420 nucleotides) under uncultured bacterium. RNAcentral describes it as "bacterial SSU rRNA". It matches the Rfam family "Bacterial small subunit ribosomal RNA", at positions 356 to 773 of the family's 1533-position model. The record is from RNAcentral.
AGGGAAUAUUGGGCAAUGGACGAGAGUCUGACCCAGCCAUGCCGCGUGCAGGAAGAAGGCUUUCUGAGUCGUAAACUGCUUUUGACAGGGAAGAAUAAGCACUACGUGUAGUGUGAUGACGGUACCUGCAGAAUAAGCACCGGCUAACUCCGUGCCAGCAGCCGCGGUAAUACGGAGGGUGCGAGCGUUGUCCGGAUUUAUUGGGUUUAAAGGGUGCGUAGGCGGCCUUUUAAGUCCGGGGUGAAAGCCCGUUGCUCAACAACGGAACUGCCCUGGAUACUGGAAGGCUUGAGUACAGACGAGGUUGGCGGAAUGGACUGAGUAGCGGUGAAAUGCAUAGAUACAGUCCAGAACCCCGAUUGCGAAGGCAGCUGACUAGGCUGUUACUGACGCUGAGGCACGAAAGCGUGGGGAGCGAAC